UAGCUUUAUAUCAAUAUAUGAGGUGAUAAAAAAAGAUUCAAGACUAUGCACAGUCACAGGGAGCACCGACCUUCGUUGCACACACAGUCACAGGGAGCACCGAUCUUCAUAAGUUGAUGUGCCAAAAGACAUCUUCCUGCCCAUAUCGGGAUAUAUUAACAUACUAUAAAGGAACAACACUGCUGGCUUUGUUCGUAUGUCAUAUGGAACAGCCUUGGUGAUCCUCAUGUGGGGUUUGAACAUGCGCCGUGUUCCUGCCAAGUUUGUCCCCAGGCUGUUGACUCAGGAACACCACAUUUGAAAUCUACCAAGAACUCUAUCAGUAUGCCAUGGACAACCCGUCCUUCAUUUCGAGAAUCAUUACCAGUGAUGAAACUUGGGUGCAUGGGUAUGACCCUGAGACUAAGCAACAGUCUUCACAUUGGAAGAGCCCUUCAUCUCCAUGACCAAAAAAAGUGAGGCAGGUCCGCAGCUCAUUCACAUUGCAGCCAUUCACUGCAUUGUGCAUUGAGAAUUCGUCUCCGGGGUCCAGACCUCUAAUAGUGAUUUCUACUGUAAUGUUUUAAGGCGUCUGAGGGAGAACAAAGCUUUUUGAUACCACCCAUAACAAUAAUCACCUUUUUCUGCUGGCUUAAACUCUACAAGGAUCAUAUAUUUUAGUAUAUUUUUUGCUCUUGAAUAUGUAUUAAAUGAUUCCUAAUAAUC
Molecule: long non-coding RNA, 705 nt
Organism: Silurus meridionalis
Lineage: Eukaryota; Metazoa; Chordata; Actinopteri; Siluriformes; Siluridae
Exons: 3
Source: RefSeq, a predicted model, not a curated record